CUUCCCCUCCACCUACUCAUUCUGGCUUCCUCCCCCUUCCUUUAAGUCCUGCCGAAGGGUCUCAGUGAGAAACAUUGUCAGUUGAUUCAUCUCCAUAGCACCUGUUAUCUGAGAUAAGCACUGGUGACUAUGGCUGGGUGCAGCACCUAGAGUUGACCCUGCUUUACACUAAGAACUUAAAGUACUGCAGGUCUAUCUACCCCAACAGUGAGUUGUUCAUUGGUGAAGAAACUGAAGAAACUGGACUUGAUACAGAUCGUGCUGCUGCCUGCAUCAGAGAGGUGUCAGAUGAGCUGGUGCACAAAGGAGCUGUGCAUGUGCAGACUAACAGCGAAUGAUUGUCUUAGCCACUUUUCUUGACUCUUUUGGAGAAUGUUAACGUGGAAUG
Mobula hypostoma (lesser devil ray) is the source of this 388-nucleotide long non-coding RNA. RefSeq lists it as uncharacterized. The record is from RefSeq and is a predicted model, not a curated record. Lineage: Eukaryota; Metazoa; Chordata; Chondrichthyes; Myliobatiformes; Myliobatidae. The transcript has 3 exons.